UGGGGAAUAUUGCACAAUGGGCGCAAGCCUGAUGCAGCCAUGCCGCGUGUAUGAAGAAGGCCUUCGGGUUGUAAAGUACUUUCAGCGGGGAGGAAGGUGUUGUGGUUAAUAACCUCAGCAAUUGACGUUACCCGCAGAAGAAGCACCGGCUAACUCCGUGCCAGCAGCCGCGGUAAUACGGAGGGUGCAAGCGUUAAUCGGAAUUACUGGGCGUAAAGCGCAUGCAGGCGGUCUGUCAAGUCGGAUGUGAAAUCCCCGGGCUCAACCUGGGAACUGCAUCCGAAACUGGCAGGCUUGAGUCUUGUAGAGGGGGGUAGAAUUCCAGGUGUAGCGGUGAAAUGCGUAGAGAUCUGGAGGAAUACCGGUGGCGAAGGCGGCCCCCUGGACAAAGACUGACGCUCAGGUGCGAAAGCGUGGGGAGCAAACA
This 427-nucleotide ribosomal RNA is filed under the name uncultured bacterium. RNAcentral describes it as "partial 16S ribosomal RNA". It matches the Rfam family "Bacterial small subunit ribosomal RNA", at positions 355 to 774 of the family's 1533-position model. The record is from RNAcentral.